RNA transcript from Anguilla anguilla (European eel), 4972 nucleotides. It is a transcript of the gene named glutamate receptor, ionotropic, kainate 1a, with no coding region annotated. The transcript has 17 exons. NCBI's taxonomy places the organism in Eukaryota, Metazoa, Chordata, Actinopteri, Anguilliformes, Anguillidae. The record is from RefSeq and is a predicted model, not a curated record.
AUUUGAUGGCAUCUUAGUUCUAGUGUUUAGCAUGUUUUCACAUUGAAUAAAAUGACAAUUGAGAAUUUACUCGCUGUCUUCUAAUGUGUCCUUCCAGAUCUUAUCGAUCUUCGCUUAAAAUUGUAUGUUCCGAAAGUAGCCUACAUUGAAUAUAGAUUGACCUAUUAGAUUACACAAUGCAUCCGUUCUGAAUGUAGGCUACACUGCAUAAACUGAUUUUCUUUUCUUUUUUUUCUUCUUUAAAAAUCCGUGUGUGGUAGUGUAGUUAUGGGGUUGCCUGCUUAAUCUUGUGGGAGCUUCACCCGGCUGUUAUGGAGAUUAGAUUUGCAUUUUCAUCAGGACGCGAGCGAAGAAUUAAUCAUUUCUCGAUGUUCCAGAUCAGAGACGACGUCGGGGGCGAAAUUUGCCAGAUCCGAAGUUAAUCCUCCCCCGUGAGCGUGGAAGUGGUGGCUCGUGUGACAGUGCCCCACACACUGAGCUCGCGCACGGAGCGGGACGCUCGUGGUCCUUUUCUACAGUUCUCUUGCAGACAUUAUGUGCCGAGACCAAUAAAGAGAGCGAUGCAUUCGAGGGGAAGACGUUUUGAAUAGGAAAGCGGUGCCCUUGUUCCUACCAAGAGUGAUGGGUUAGGACGGGCAAGCAGGGGCUCGGUUUGAGCAACACUUGCAAGAGAACGUUUUUUUUAACCCUCUCCAGAAAGCCGAGAUAAAGACAGUGAUGGAAGUUGGAUGCCAAUUUAUUUCUCGUUCGGAUACAAGGACUGGCGCGAAUUAAAAAAUAUGGAGAUCAACGUUAAGUUUGACUCCAGAUCCACGGAGAGGAGGAAGGGACUGCAGUUAUGUUUGCUCUACUUCAUGACAGAGGUGUGUCUGAGUUCGCAGCAAGUCCUUAGAAUUGGAGGGAUUUUCGAGACCAUGGAGAACGAGCCUGUGAGCGUCGAAGAGCUCGCUUUCAAAUUCGCCGUCACCAACAUCAACCGGAACAAAACCCUGAUGCCCAACACCACGCUGACGUACGACAUCCAGAGAAUAAACGUCUUCGACAGCUUUGAAGCCUCGCGAAGAGCCUGCGACCAGCUGGCGUUGGGCGUGGCAGCGGUCUUUGGCCCCUCCCACAGCUCCUCGGUCAGCGCGGUGCAGUCCAUCUGCAACGCCCUGGAGGUGCCGCACAUCCAGACGCGCUGGAAGCACCCCUCCGUGGACAACCGGGACACCUUCUACAUCAACCUGCACCCCGAGCACGCCUCCAUCAGCCGGGCCAUCCUGGACGUGGUGCAGUUCUACCAGUGGAGGGCCGUGACGGUGGUUUACGAGGACAGCACCGGCCUGAUGCGUCUGCAGGAGCUGAUCAAAGCCCCAUCCAGGUACAACAUCAAGGUGAAGAUCCGCCAGCUGCCCCCGGGGAACGCCGACGCCCGGCCCCUGCUCAAGGAGAUGAAGAAGGGCAAGGAGUUCUUCGUCAUCUUCGACUGCUCCUACCAGACCGCCGCCGAGAUCCUCAAGCAGAUCAUGUCGAUGGGAAUGAUGACCGAAUAUUACCACUUCUUUUUCACUACUCUGGACAUGUUUGCCCUGGAUCUGGACCCGUACCGCUUCAGCGGAGUGAACAUGACGGGGUUCCGCCUACUCAACAUGGACAGCCCGUACGUGGCCUCCGUGAUGGAAAAGUGGUCUAUGGAGCGUGUGCAGGCCCCACCCAGACUCGUGAUGGGUCUCCGGGAUGGCGUGAUGACGACAGAGGCAGCCCUGAUGUACGACGCCGUGUACAUGGUUGCCGUGGCGGCGCAGCGCUCCACCCAGAUGACCGUCAGCUCCCUGCAGUGCCACAGGCACAAGCCCUGGCGCUUCGGACCCCGCUUCAUGAAUCUGUUCAAGGAAGCACAGUGGGACGGCCUGACUGGACACGUGCUCCUCAACAGGACGGACGGCUUGAGGAAAGAGUUUGAGUUGGACGUCAUCAGCCUGAAGGAGAACGGAACGGCGAAGGUGAGCGAGAUUGCGGUUUGGAACUCCAUAACUGGGCUGAACUUGACUGACCUCAGCCUGGACGCGGGCAACGUCUCUGAUUCCAUGGCGAACAGAACGCUCAUCGUCACCACUAUUCUGGAGAACCCGUACGUCAUGUACAAGAAGUCGGACAAAGAGCUGUACGGUAACGACAGGUUCGAGGGCUACUGCCUGGACCUGCUGAAGGAGCUGUCGAACAUCCUGGGCUUCGCGUACGAGGUGAAGCUGGUGUCGGACGGGAAGUACGGGGCGCAGAACGACAAGGGCGAGUGGAACGGCAUGGUGCGGGAGCUCAUCGACCACAUAGCUGACCUGGCGGUCGCGCCUCUGACCAUCACCUACGUGAGGGAGAAGGUGAUCGAUUUCUCAAAGCCGUUCAUGACCCUGGGCAUCAGCAUCCUGUACCGCAAGCCCAACGGCACCAACCCGGGGGUGUUCUCCUUCCUCAACCCGCUGUCCCCCGACAUCUGGAUGUACGUGCUGCUGGCCUGCCUGGGGGUCAGCUGCGUCCUGUUCGUCAUCGCCAGGUUUACCCCCUAUGAGUGGUAUAACCCACACCCCUGCAACCCCGAUUCGGACGUGGUGGAAAACAAUUUUACUUUGCUAAAUAGUUUCUGGUUUGGAGUGGGAGCCCUCAUGCAACAAGGGUCAGAGCUGAUGCCUAAAGCUCUGUCCACCAGAAUCGUCGGAGGGAUCUGGUGGUUCUUUACGUUAAUAAUAAUAUCGUCAUACACUGCCAACCUGGCUGCCUUUUUGACGGUCGAAAGAAUGGACUCGCCAAUCGAUUCUGCGGACGAUUUGGCGAAGCAAACAAAAAUUGAGUAUGGGGCCGUGCGAGAUGGAUCCACCAUGACAUUUUUUAAGAAAUCCAAGAUCUCCACGUACGAGAAGAUGUGGGCUUUCAUGAGCAGCCGAAAAAACACGGCUCUGGUGAAGAACAACCGCGAGGGCAUCCAGCGGGUCCUGACCACGGACUACGCGCUCCUCAUGGAGUCCACCAGCAUCGAGUACAUCAGCCAGAGGAACUGCAACCUCACUCAGAUCGGAGGGCUGAUAGAUUCCAAGGGAUACGGUGUGGGAACCCCUAUCGGCUCUCCGUACAGGGACAAGGUGACCAUCGCCAUCCUCCAGCUGCAGGAGGAAGGCAAGCUCCACAUGAUGAAGGAGAAGUGGUGGAGGGGGAACGGCUGCCCCGAGGAGGACAGCAAGGAGGCCAGCGCCCUGGGCGUGGAGAACAUCGGCGGCAUUUUCAUCGUGCUGGCCGCCGGACUCGUCCUGUCCGUCUUCGUGGCCAUCGGCGAGUUCAUAUACAAAUCCAGGAAGAACACGGACAUCGAGGAGGCCUUUUGCUUCUAUUACGGAGUGCAAUCCAAGCCGUUGCAAAGGCGCCUCUCCAACGCUUCCUCCGAAAGCUGUCUGUCGACGGAUGUAGAAUGUGGUAAACUUCUCCAAGAAGAUCUUUUGCGAUCUCCACGCUAGAUACCACGCCGCUUAGUUGUUUGCUUUGGUCAAGGUGUGUCCGUGGCCCUUCAGAAAUAGGCCCGCCUCCCCUCUAAACACUGUCCCCAGGCCCCUCCCCCAGUCCCUAAGCCCCACCCCUCCACCCAGUCCCCGUCCGCUCCCCUCGUUUUUCUGUGAGGUUGUAGCUACGUUUCCUACAAGCGCCCACAAUGUAGAUGCUCACUCCAGAGAACCUGAGGUCUAAAUUGUGGGAGGAACUGGCCUUCAAGAAAAAAAAUACAAGCCUAGUUCACAUUAUUUCAUUUGUUUACAGAGGGGUACAGAACAACAGCUUCUCAAUGCAGAACUUGCAUAUUAACUCUGUGACAUAUCAGAGGGCUGUGUGUACUGGUUUCUCCUCCAGCUCUCAGCCAAUUAGGUCUGCAUAUAUUCAUUGUCAUGGAUGGCUUUAUGUAAGAGUGAAAACACACACACACACACACACACACACACAGGCCUGUAGAAACUCCCCUCCUUCACUUAGUUUUAUUGAACUAUGAAGUGCACCCCUCCUGGUGAAAUCCUGAAAACACACACAAACUAAGGAAGCAAUUUGGUAAAGAGUAUGGAGACUAAAUUCUCUGUCAGCAUGCCCUGUAUCCCAGCAUGCAUUGCUUGGUUUGUGCCAAUCAGAACUCUGGGUUCAGGUUUUCAAGCUUUCAGCAGAUGGUGUGUCCUUUAUGAUGUCAUAAAGGAAAAGUGAACAAGGGGCGGGGCAGAUACAUCUCAAAGUGUCAACUGGGCUUAAGAAAAAAAUACGGAAAAAAAUUCUAACUCAUUAAUGCAAAACUUUUUAUUUUUAGAGCUGAAGCUAUUAGUGAAUUUAGUUUGACCUUGACACUCGAGGAAGGUCAAAAACAGAAGCAGAGGAUUACAAAUCUGACAUUUGAAAGUCAUUAAAAGUAAUGGAAAACGAUAGCACCUGCAAUGUAGAUGCUGAGCUUUACCCUGAACAUUGGAUGUCUGUUCUCUCAGUUUUACCCCAGUUUCUUGUUGAGUGAGCAAUUUAAUUAUUGAACAGGCCCUUUAAAUAUCACCAUUGUGAAAACGGUUGCAUUUAUUUGUGGCUUGCCAUCCCCAUACUGCUGUCUUCUUGAGAAUUUACAACAGCUUCUCUUGUAAAUUAAGAGCCCAUUAUGGAUUAUAUUAGGAAAGGUAGUCCUGCAGGAAGGUUUAAGCUGUCGAGAAGAAGGUAGGUGUGUGUGUGUGUGUGUGUGUGUGUGUGUGUGUGUGUGUGAGAGAGAGGGAGAGAGUGAGAGAAAGAGAGAGGGGGAAAUAACCAAUCAUCUGCGAGGAAAAACCCCCAAUACAUGUAUGAACUAUGCUGCCCUGCAUGAAAAUUAAACUAUAAAAAUAACUGCAUAAAAAUUACCUCAUGAAUACAUGUACAGUUAGUGCAAUAUCACUUAUAUACCUAUAACCCAUUUGGCUGGCCAGUUAAAACACUUUAAAGCCAUUUUUCUCAG